UACGUAGGAGGCAAGCGUUGUCCGGAAUUACUGGGCGUAAAGCGCGUGUAGGUGGUGGGACAAGUCUGCUGUGAAAGCCCCCGGCUCAACUGGGGAGGGUCACUCGAUACUGAUCGACUGGAAGGCAGGAGAGGGAAGCGGAAUUCCCGGUGUAGUGGUGAAAUGCGUAGAUAUCGGGAGGAACACCAGUGGCGAAGGCGGCUUCCUGGCCUGUUCUUGACGCUGAGGCGCGAAAGCUAGGGGAGCAAACGGG
This 253-nucleotide ribosomal RNA is filed under the name uncultured bacterium. RNAcentral's name for it is "partial 16S ribosomal RNA". It matches the Rfam family "Bacterial small subunit ribosomal RNA", at positions 524 to 776 of the family's 1533-position model. The record is from RNAcentral.